GGUCGCUUAGCUCAGUUGGUUAGAGCGUGGUGCUAAUAUCUUGGUUCCUCUCAAGAGCUUCCAAACUGUUAAACGCCAAGGUCGCGAGUUCGACCCUCGUAGUGACCA
RNAcentral lists this transfer RNA (108 nucleotides) under Aplosporella prunicola CBS 121167. It matches the Rfam family "tRNA". From Rfam's summary of the family: Transfer RNA (tRNA) molecules are approximately 80 nucleotides in length. Their secondary structure includes four short double-helical elements and three loops (D, anti-codon, and T loops). The record is from Rfam by way of RNAcentral. Lineage: Eukaryota; Fungi; Ascomycota; Dothideomycetes; Botryosphaeriales; Aplosporellaceae.